RNAcentral lists this transfer RNA (65 nucleotides) under Octopus fitchi. Its description in RNAcentral is "tRNA-Phe". The record is from RNAcentral. Lineage: Eukaryota; Metazoa; Mollusca; Cephalopoda; Octopoda; Octopodidae.
ACUUAAAUAGCUUAAAUAGAGCAUGACGUUGAAGGUGUUAAGGUGAUAUCUUUUAUCUUUAAGUA